Bos taurus (domestic cattle) is the source of this 861-nucleotide long non-coding RNA. NCBI's taxonomy places the organism in Eukaryota, Metazoa, Chordata, Mammalia, Artiodactyla, Bovidae. The record is from Ensembl.
CAUUGGAAGAGGGAGGUCAGUGAAAGCCUAAAGAGAAUGAGAAGACCACGGAUGGGGUACCUCAGCCUGCCCUCCCAAACAAGGCUACUUCUUCACAGGGCCUAGAAGAGUGCCUGGCAUAUGAUGGAAGUGAGAUGCAUGUUUGGUGGAUGUAAUGCUGGUGAAGAGAAGAUAAGAGCAUGAGUCAGAAGGAACUGGGGCUUAGCAACUUGGGCCUGUUCUUAAGAGCUACAACUAAGAGAAAGGCAUCUGUACCCGGGAGAAUUCAACACCCAUUGCAGGUUUUAAAAAGAAAACUGAGAUCAUCAAGAUAAAUCCUCCCUCAUUAGUGCAGAGAGUGCUAGUAAAGCAGCAAGGGCUCAGGGUCAGAACAAAAGCAGCCGCUCUUCACCACCACAGGAAUGGACUUCAUGACCAGGGCUCCAAGGAUGAAUGCCAGUACAUCAAAGAAUGCCACAUUCUUCAGUGAUUCCCCAUCCAGGGAGCAGAUCACAUCAACCUUUCUGCCAGUGACCAGCGACAACUGGAAAGCCUCCUUAUUCUGCUGACAGUGUCACAACACCUAUGAGCCACAGAUUCCAUCCAUUGCCAGCUUUAUACCAGAGAUCAACUUGCCAAGGAGCAGAAGUGGGGAGAAGAAAUAUGGAAGUUGAAAGGAAGCUGAGUGUUUACCCUGAUCGUAAUAUUGGACUAAGUUUACCAAACUGAACUAAAAUUUCAUUCCCACCUUGGAAUCCAGUGGUGGAAACUUGGGAGGAACAUUAUUUUAAUUAAUACACAAAAAAUUAAGAAGCUACAUGUUCUUUUCCUCUUUCAAUAUAAUAUGGAUGAACUCUGCAAACCUGAUAGGAAUUUUUGUGG